Mus pahari (shrew mouse) is the source of this 349-nucleotide long non-coding RNA. RefSeq lists it as uncharacterized. The record is from RefSeq and is a predicted model, not a curated record. Lineage: Eukaryota; Metazoa; Chordata; Mammalia; Rodentia; Muridae. The transcript is spliced from 3 exons.
AUCAUUUCCGUGUCCUGAUUUUGAGGAACUGAGGGAAGUUCAAGGAAGAUGCUCUGACUUUCUACAUAGGGACAAUUUAUCCUCAGAAAAGAGUUUCCAAGGAGAAACCCAGGAACAGUAGAAGUUGCCCUACCCGGAUUCCAGGAAGUCCUUCUCGCAGUCCAGGACCCACGUGACUCCGACGUCACAAGCAAAUCCCAUCCGGCUUCUGGUCACCACGCGUGAAUCUUCCCCAAAAGUUGGACUGGAGUCCUGUGCUGCUGAAGGUUCCCGUAGCGUCUCUGACUUAGAGGAAAUGCUGUCCUUCCGGGAUGUGGCCAUUGAUUUCUCUCCAGAAGAGAGGGAAUGC